Ictalurus punctatus (channel catfish) is the source of this 126-nucleotide small nuclear RNA. Its record names the gene U2. It matches the Rfam family "U2 spliceosomal RNA". Rfam says of the family: U2 is a small nuclear RNA (snRNA) component of the spliceosome (involved in pre-mRNA splicing). Complementary binding between U2 snRNA (in an area lying towards the 5' end but 3' to hairpin I) and the branchpoint sequence (BPS) of the intron results the bulging out of an unpaired adenosine, on the BPS, which initiates a nucleophilic attack at the intronic 5' splice site, thus starting the first of two transesterification reactions that mediate splicing. Lineage: Eukaryota; Metazoa; Chordata; Actinopteri; Siluriformes; Ictaluridae. The record is from Ensembl.
AUCGCUUCUCGGCCUUUUGGCUAAGAUCAAGUGUAGUAUCUGUUCUUAUCAAUCCGGAAGUCGGUCGAGGGGCGGUCGAGUGGCGCGCCUGAGAAAACGAGCCGAAGGCGUAGAUGGGCACCGAUU